Long non-coding RNA from Mauremys reevesii (Reeves's turtle), 873 nucleotides. RefSeq lists it as uncharacterized. The record is from RefSeq and is a predicted model, not a curated record. The transcript is spliced from 4 exons. Lineage: Eukaryota; Metazoa; Chordata; Testudines; Geoemydidae.
UUUAAAGAUAAUGAAAUGGUUUGUGGCUCAACAACUCUAUUACGGUCUAUGGAGGAAGGAGCAGCAUGCUGUAGCUUGAGAGCAUUAUGAGCAUUCUCAGUCUAGCGCAGCAAUUGUAGCUAACGAGCACAUUAUUUUGGCCCCCAUGUAGAAUAGGUCUUUCGGAACACUGCUUGAUCUUCUGCCUGCCUCAGAUUUUCUCUCUGAAUUCACCAUUCUUGGCAGCAAUACACAGAGCGAAAUCAUCCAGAGCGGAGAUCAUCACACCAGGGUCUGAAGUGCUCACAAAUUACUCCAAUAAAGUGCAGGCCACCCACUAGCCCUUUGGGUGAAAUCAAAGGACAAAGUUAUUAGCCGAAGAGUCUGGUUCUCCAGUUAGCUUGCUUUUAAUUAAAAUAAUGUGAAAAUGGAACUGGUGAUUUAUGGAGGCGGAAAUUACUACUGGGCACCUUGGGAUACUCUUGGAGAUAAAGACUCUCUCUGCUGUUAUCAAGAGAGAUAGAAACAGAGCUGCUAUGGUGUAAGGCAUAGAGAAGAAGAGGCUUGGAACAUGCUGAAUUCACAGACCAAACUAUGGACAUCUGAAAGGAAGACUUAUGGUCUAGGCAUUUCCUCCUCCUCUUGUUCCAUGGUGAUCUAGAAGAGAAGGCUGCGAGCCAGUGCCUGAGAAACUGGGUGCUUCAGCCUGACAUGCCUGACCUCAGCAAAGCCAGGAAACAAUUUAGGGAACGUGCCUUCAGAUUGAUCACCUCCUUCAUGAUUGACAGUGGAGUCAGGACACACAUAGUCUGCAUUAGUAGCAAUUACAACUGGUGAAAAAAAAUGUCAGUAGAACAAUUUUCCAUUGAAAAAUGCAGCUUUAUUGAAAUAAAA